This 447-nucleotide ribosomal RNA is filed under the name uncultured bacterium. RNAcentral's name for it is "bacterial SSU rRNA". It matches the Rfam family "Bacterial small subunit ribosomal RNA", at positions 355 to 825 of the family's 1533-position model. The record is from RNAcentral.
UGGGGAAUAUUGGACAAUGGGCGCAAGCCUGAUCCAGCCAUGCCGCGUGAGUGAAGAGGGCCUUCGGGUUGUAAAGCUCUUUUACCAGGGACGAUAAUGACGGUACCUGGAGAAUAAGCCCCGGCAAACUUCGUGCCAGCAGCCGCGGUAAUACGAAGGGGGCUAGCGUUGUUCGGAAUUACUGGGCGUAAAGCGCACGUAGGCGGAUUGUUAAGUCAGAGGUGAAAUCCCGGAGCUCAACUUCGGAACUGCCUUUGAUACUGGCAAUCUAGAGUCCGGAAGAGGUUAGUGGAAUUCCCAGUGUAGAGGUGAAAUUCGUAGAUAUUGGGAAGAACACCAGUGGCGAAGGCGGCUAACUGGUCCGGUACUGACGCUGAGGUGCGAAAGCGUGGGGAGCAAACAGGAUUAGAUACCCAAGUAGUCCCUGAGCGGGCUGGCAAGGCGCAU